UCCUGUCCCCUGUAAGCAGCUGUCAAAAGAGAGCCCAGAGCUGACUUCUCCUGGACUGUUACUUUUUGUUACCUAUAACUGAUCUAUGGUAUUUCAGGGAAAGACAGAU
This 109-nucleotide small nucleolar RNA is filed under the name Sciurus vulgaris (Eurasian red squirrel). The record is from RNAcentral. Lineage: Eukaryota; Metazoa; Chordata; Mammalia; Rodentia; Sciuridae.